Molecule: long non-coding RNA, 1196 nt
Organism: Daucus carota subsp. sativus
Lineage: Eukaryota; Viridiplantae; Streptophyta; Magnoliopsida; Apiales; Apiaceae
Exons: 3
Source: RefSeq, a predicted model, not a curated record
UACUAUUUUAGUGUCGUAAUUUCCUCAACACAAGUUAUGCUUAGAACAUCUUUAGCUGUAAAUCUCUUUAAAGAUUUUUUAAGAUCUCGAUUAAGUAAUAUCUCUUUACUUUAUAAAUCCUGUUGCCUAUCUAGCUACAAAAAGUCAGUUUUGUCCCUCUAUAUUUUCACUAAUUUCUUUAUACGGCCACUCAUCGCCACGUGUUUCUCUCCCUACCACAAACCCCAUCGUCGUCUCACAUACACCACAUUCCAUUAUCAUCUUAUUCAAAUAUCAAAUCACCGUUCAAAUUCUCUCUCUGCGCGUUGUGCCCCUUUUUUCUAGGAUUUCAAGCUCCGCUCCGCCGCCGAGAAAUCAAUUUUCUGAUUAAAUCUAUCUCUCCAACAGAGCUAGUAUCAGGCUUGAAAAGAUGAUCUUGCUGUUCAUGGUUAAGCAGUAUUUUGCAGCAUGCUUUGUAAUUUUUUGAUGAAAGUCCUGACACAAGUUUCUGAUUUUCACUUUGUAGAUUCAAUAUUUUGCCGAGGUCACGAGUUGAGGUGAUGAAGUGAUUUUCUAUCAUUUUAGGUUGGUUUUGGUGCAUUAUUUGCAAGAAUAGAGAAUUAUGGAUUCAUCACGACUUGGGAUUUUGUGGGUACAUCUUCUACAAACCCUCACGAGAGCACACUCGUCCACUAGAGCUAUCUAGGGGUUUAAAGGGCUUGUUGCAUAUGCUAAAUGCAACCGUGAUCACCUACGGAAGUGGUACUAGAAGCGAGGAAGGACAUGCACGCGAGAACGAGCGAGAAACGAAGAAACGAGGCUGCCAUGACAGACAGUAGCGCGCCCGCGCUAACUUGUAGCGCGCCCGCGCUACAGUCUGCAACACUAGCGCGCCCGCGCUAGUGUAGCGCGGUGGCGCCCCACAGAAACUUCCCGGGCCGAUUUUUACAGCUUUUCUGAUGGAUUUUCGCAGCGGUCGAGGCCCGGUUGACUUAGUCAAUGCAUUUUUAUUUCUCGUGUGUAAAACCCUAGCCGUAUAGUAGUAGUUUGAGAAGUAGAGAACAAUAUCGUAGUUUUCAGUUUAAUCAUUCAAGCACAAUAUCAGUUUGUAUUAGAUCGUUCUUCGCGCGGAAGUGACAGUUUCGAGCGAGAUCGUGAACAUCAAAUCUGUAACGUGUGAUCUUUAUUAUUAAUUCAAGCAUUUUUAUUCUAUUUAA